Molecule: ribosomal RNA, 497 nt
Filed under: uncultured bacterium
Lineage: Bacteria
Description: partial 16S ribosomal RNA
Rfam family: Bacterial small subunit ribosomal RNA
Source: RNAcentral
GAUGAACGCUGGCGGCGUGCUUAAUACAUGCAAGUCGAGCGAACGGACGAGAAGCUUGCUUCUUUGAUGUUAGCGGCGGACGGGUGUGUAACACGUGGAUAACCUACCUAUAAGACUGGGAUCACUUCGGGACACCGGCGCUAAUACCGGAUAAUAUUUUGAACCGCAUGGUUGAAUAGUGAAAGUCGGUCUUUCGGUCACUUAUAGAUGGAUCCGCGCUGCAUUAGCUAGUUGGUAAGGUAACGGCCUACCAAGGCAACAAUGCAUAGCCGACCUGAGAGAGGGAUCGGCCACACUGGAACUGAGACACGGGCCAGAGUCCUACGGGAGGCAGCAGAAGGGGAUCUGCCGCAAUGGGCGAGAGCCUGACGGAGCAGCGCCGCGUGAGUGAUAAAAGUCUUCGGAUCGUAAAACUCUGUUAUGGGGGAAGAACAUAUGUGUAAGUAACUGUGCACAUCUUGACGGUACCUAAUCAGAAAGCCACGGCUAACUACGUG